GAGUUAUCCUGAUGGUAUCCAAAGACGACAUCAUAAAGAGAGGGUUCUGGGGGACAUUUGACCCUGGUCUCAUAUGCGCCAAGAACCUCAAAUUUAAAAUUGGGAUUUUUUUUUACUUAAAAAAAAAAUCUGACUACCCUCAAAUAUACAAAUGAUUCUAGUCUUCCCUGAUUUCUAAAAGGUCCUGAUACCAAACAUGAACCUGCAUUUUCAUCCAUCUUUGCAACCAGUAUUGAUAGAGUGGCUACUGUGACUUGCACUAAGCUGGGUGGGCAUGCUUUAGGCACCCAGGGAAGCAAGGCAUGGUCUCUCACCUCAAGGAGCCCACCCACUUCCAGGAGAAACAGGUCUGUCCACUUGAAACUGCCCUGGUGUGAUGCAUGGCUUGCUGGAGGCAUGGAGAAGUGGGAAAAUUCUAAGGUGAUUCGAGUUGGGACCUACUCAGAGAAUGGUUCAUAUAAGGAAGAAUAAGUACCCCGAUAUGGGUGGAUAAUUUCUCACAAGAGACAUGACUUGAGCAAAGAUACACAAACAUAAAAAGUAGCUUUGCCACUUCAUUCUUGGGCCCACGCUGAAGAACCAGUCUUUUUCUGAAACAUUGCUAAGAAUGUGGCAGAAGGAAGAGAUAUGGCAGAACUUCAUCAUGGCCCUGACAAACUCUGCUCUGAAAACCUUCAUGAUGGUGCUGAAAACUGACUCCCCCUGAGAGUUCCUUGGCUAAAUGAGUCACUUGGCCAAGCCUGACAUCCUCAGAGUGGGAAAACAAUCUUCCCAAAAUAAGGGCACCAUAAAUUACAUAGCCAAACCUCAUGUCAGUAGAAUGGCAGGUAAAAUCCUCCCACAAGAAGGAGCAGCAUAUAUUUGGAAAUAAAAAAUGCAGUCCACUACAUCUCAAUCAUUACAGCCUCAGAGGCUGAAAA
RNAcentral lists this long non-coding RNA (920 nucleotides) under Homo sapiens (human). RNAcentral's name for it is "novel transcript". The record is from RNAcentral. Lineage: Eukaryota; Metazoa; Chordata; Mammalia; Primates; Hominidae.